This is a non-coding RNA of Danionella cerebrum, 74 nucleotides long. NCBI's taxonomy places the organism in Eukaryota, Metazoa, Chordata, Actinopteri, Cypriniformes, Danionidae. The record is from the annotation of a GenBank genome assembly.
GCAUCCUGUGGCUCAGUUGGUAGAGCAUUGCGCUAACAACGCAAAGGUUGUGGGUUCAAAUCCCAGAAAAAGCG